CCUACGGGUGGCAGCAGUGGGGAAUUUUGGACAAUGGGGGAAACCCUGAUCCAGCAAUGCCGCGUGUGCGAAGAAGGCCUUCGGGUUGUAAAGCACUUUUGUCAGGGAAGAAAUCCUUUGGGCUAAUACCCUAGGGGGAUGACGGUACCUGAAGAAUAAGCACCGGCUAACUACGUGCCAGCAGCCGCGGUAAUACGUAGGGUGCAAGCGUUAAUCGGAAUUACUGGGCGUAAAGCGUGCGCAGGCGGUUGUGUAAGACAGGUGUGAAAUCCCCGGGCUUAACCUGGGAAUUGCAUUUGUGACUGCACGACUAGAGUGUGUCAGAGGGGGGUGGAAUUCCACGUGUAGCAGUGAAAUGCGUAGAUAUGUGGAGGAACACCAAUGGCGAAGGCAGCCCCCUGGGAUAACACUGACGCUCAUGCACGAAAGCGUGGGGAGCA
RNAcentral lists this ribosomal RNA (440 nucleotides) under uncultured bacterium. RNAcentral's name for it is "bacterial SSU rRNA". It matches the Rfam family "Bacterial small subunit ribosomal RNA", at positions 338 to 770 of the family's 1533-position model. The record is from RNAcentral.